Molecule: long non-coding RNA, 1204 nt
Filed under: Setaria viridis
Lineage: Eukaryota; Viridiplantae; Streptophyta; Magnoliopsida; Poales; Poaceae
Description: long non-coding RNA (SVIR_LNC004295)
Source: RNAcentral
GUUCAUGUGCAUUGAUAUGCACUUCUGAAUGUUUUGGAUAUGAUAAAGUUACCUUGUGCUGAUAUACACUGUGAUAUGACUUAUAGGAUUUUGGAUAUAAUGUAUGUGAGCUUCUUGUCAUUCACAUAAUUUUUUAUAUAUGGAUAUUUGAAUAUUGGUGUGAUAAAGUUGCAAUGAAACUAAUAUGAUAAGUGGUGCUUCUCUAUGGUGAUGUGUGUUAUGGUAUGGCUUGUGGAGAUAUUAUAUGUGUUGUUGUAGUGCAUUCCUAUAGACUUCAUUGGCAUUGCAAAUGUUAUUCCAUUUUUUUUAUUAUGGUACAUGUUCUGCAUUUAUGCUACCUUUAUUUCUAAUUGUUAUGGAGGCCAUAUGCUAUGGCUUUUUGAGGGUUGUUAACUAUUGUUCUACAGGUAUCUUAUAUUGAUUGUUAUGGUAGCUCUUGUACAAACUAAUGUUGUUUUGUCUUGCCAUGAUCACCUAAUUCUUGGUAUAUCAAGUAGAUUGGUGGAGCUAUUAAUACUUGUUAAUCUAAUGUGGUUUAAAUAGCUUGUUAAAGUAGUUCUCUUACUGAGAUCAUUCAAUCUCACUCUUGUUUUUCCCUCCCCAGGUUGUCCUUUGAAGCUAGCAUGGAGGGAAGUGGGUUAGUUGUACAACAUAUACUUUCACGGGAUCCCCCAUAAUGCUAAGAUGUAUUCUUCUAAGUUUAUGAUAUGUUAGGGUAUUCUUAUUCUUGAUUGUUAAAGAUGUAUGGUUAUCAUAAUGGAGAAUCACGCUUCAUAUAUAGUCUAUCUUUUGUUGCUUCUGCAUUGUGUUUGCUUCAAGGUAUAUGCUACCAAAAUUUUCUAGUUCGGCAUUUUAGUGUAGUUGUGUAGCAUCCUAGGGCUGCAUGAUACCUGGGGUGUUACACCACCACCCAUCGCCUCAACUUCCUCCACUCGACACCCUCGAGGAGCACUGUCGACCAUGCACAAAGCAAGCCUACCCAUAUUAAAAGGAAGAGAGAGAGAAAGAAAGAACCUACCGCCUCCGUCACGUGGGUCCACCGUUGUUACUCACAACCCAUGCACUGUGCUUCGAACUUUGCUCCCAGUGAGCCUCGCCCAAUGUGUGCUGGAGGCAUAUCUUUGCGCUAACCCUGAUCUUGAUUACUACAAGAAAUCUUCCGGUCUAUGACGAACCAAAAAGUGUCAUAAACGUGUUUUUUUUG